Molecule: ribosomal RNA, 612 nt
Filed under: uncultured bacterium
Lineage: Bacteria
Description: bacterial SSU rRNA
Rfam family: Bacterial small subunit ribosomal RNA (bases 1-525)
Source: RNAcentral
CCUACGGGAGGCAGCAGUGGGGAAUAUUGCACAAUGGGCGAAAGCCUGAUGCAGCGACGCCGCGUGAGGGAUGACGGCCUUCGGGUUGUAAACCUCUUUCAGCAGGGAAGAAGCGAGAGUGACGGUACCUGCAGAAGAAGCGCCGGCUAACUACGUGCCAGCAGCCGCGGUAAUACGUAGGGCGCAAGCGUUGUCCGGAAUUAUUGGGCGUAAAGAGCUCGUAGGCGGCUUGUUGCGUCGGUUGUGAAAGCCCGGGGCUUAACCCCGGGUCUGCAGUCGAUACGGGCAGGCUAGAGUGUGGUAGGGGAGAUCGGAAUUCCUGGUGUAGCGGUGAAAUGCGCAGAUAUCAGGAGGAACACCGGUGGCGAAGGCGGAUCUCUGGGCCAUUACUGACGCUGAGGAGCGAAAGCGUGGGGAGCGAACAGGAUUAGAUACCCUGGUAGUCCUCGCCGUAAACGUUGGGAACUAGGUGUUGGCGACAUUCCACGUCGUCGGUGCCGCAGCUAACGCAUUAAGUUCCCCGCCUGGGGAGGUACGGCCGCGACGACGUAAACUUAAACGUAAGUUAGUACGGCGUGAGACGUGCCGACGGACGACGACGAGGGAGGUAGG